AUGCUUGCUUUGGCAGCAUGUAUACUAAAAUUGGAAUAAUACAGAGAAGAUCAACAUGGCCUCUGUGGAAGGAUGACAUGUAAAUUCGUGAAGUGCUCCGUAUUUUA
Lemur catta (Ring-tailed lemur) is the source of this 107-nucleotide small nuclear RNA. NCBI's taxonomy places the organism in Eukaryota, Metazoa, Chordata, Mammalia, Primates, Lemuridae. The record is from RefSeq and is a predicted model, not a curated record.